CAGCAGCCGCGGUAAUACGUAGGGUGCAAGCGUUGUCCGGAUUUAUUGGGCGUAAAGAGCUCGUAGGCGGUUAGUCACGUCGGAUGUGAAAACUCAGUGCUUAACACUGAGCCUGCAUUCGAUACGGGCUGACUAGAGUAUUGUAGGGGAGACUGGAACUCCUGGUGUAGCGGUGAAAUGCGCAGAUAUCAGGAAGAACACCGGUGGCGAAGGCGGGUCUCUGGGCAAUUACUGACGCUGAGGAGCGAAAGCGUGGGGAGCAAACAGGAUUAGAUACCCUGGUAGUCCACGCCGUAAACGGUGGGCGCUAGGUGUGGGGAACAUUCCACGUUCUCUGUGCCGCAGCUAACGCAUUAAGCACCCCGCCUGGGGAGUACGGCCGCAAGGCUAAAACUCAAAGGAAUUGACGGGCGCCCGCACAAGCUGCAGAACAUGCGGCUUAAUUCGAUGCAACGCGAAGAACCUUACCUAGGCUUGACAGUCAGGGAAAACUGGUAGAGAUGCCAGGUGCCGAAAGGCGUCCUUGAAACAGGUGGUGCAUGGCUGUCGUCAGCUCGUGUCGUGAGAUGUUGGGUUAAGUUCCGCAACGAGCGCAACCUUCGUCGUAUGUUGCCAGCAUUUAAUGUUGGGGACUCAUACGAGACUGCCCGGGUCAACUCGGAAGAAGGUGGGGAUGACGUCAAGUCAUCAUGCCCCUUAUGUCUACGGCUGCACGCAUGCUACAAUGGCUGGUACAAAGGGCUGCAAUAACGCGAGGUGGAGCGAAUCCCAAAAAGCCAGUCUCAGUUCGGAUUAGGGUCUGCAACUCGUCCCCAUGAAGUCGGAGUCGCUAGUAAUCGCAGAUCAGCAAAGCGGCGGUGAAUAUGUUCCCGGGCGUUGUACACACCGCCCGUCACGUCACGAAAGUAAGCGACACCCGAAGCGUGUAGAGCAACCGCAAGCGGAGCGAGCUGUAGAAGGCGGGAUCGGUGAUUGGGACGAAGUCGUAACAAGGUAGCCGUA
This 1002-nucleotide ribosomal RNA is filed under the name uncultured bacterium ACE-33. Its description in RNAcentral is "bacterial SSU rRNA". It matches the Rfam family "Bacterial small subunit ribosomal RNA", at positions 509 to 1504 of the family's 1533-position model. Lineage: Bacteria; Bacillati; Actinomycetota; Actinomycetes; Frankiales. The record is from RNAcentral.